GAUGAAGAACGUAGUGAAAUGCGAUAAGUAAUGUGAAUUGCAGAAUUCAGUGAAUCAUCGAAUCUUUGAACGCACAUUGCGCCCGCCAGUAUUCUGGCGGGCAUGCCUGUUCGAGCGUCAUUUCAACCAUCAAGCCCCAGGCUUGUGUUGGGGACCUGCGGCUGCCGCAGGCCCUGAAAACCAGUGGCGGGCUCGCUGUCACACCGGGCGUAGUAGAUUUUAUCUCGCUCAGGGCGUGCUGCGGGUUCCGGCCGUUAAAAAGCCUUUUUUACCCAAGGUUGACCUCCGAUCAGGUAGGAAGACCCGCUGAACUUAAGCAUAUCAAUAAGCGGAGGA
RNAcentral lists this unclassified non-coding RNA (336 nucleotides) under soil metagenome. RNAcentral's name for it is "partial contains 5.8S ribosomal RNA, internal transcribed spacer 2, and large subunit ribosomal RNA". The stretch from base 1 to 120 matches the Rfam family "5.8S ribosomal RNA", at positions 35 to 154 of the family's 154-position model. The record is from RNAcentral.